AUUCAAAUACUGGUUCCCAUAUGAUCACUGAAGUUAAGCACCAUCAAUCCUGGUUAAUACUUAGAUGGGUGACCACUUCAGAAUACCACGUGCUGUAAG
Non-coding RNA from Acanthosepion pharaonis, 99 nucleotides. The record is from the annotation of a GenBank genome assembly. Lineage: Eukaryota; Metazoa; Mollusca; Cephalopoda; Sepiida; Sepiidae.